RNAcentral lists this unclassified non-coding RNA (334 nucleotides) under soil metagenome. RNAcentral describes it as "partial contains 5.8S ribosomal RNA, internal transcribed spacer 2, and large subunit ribosomal RNA". The stretch from base 1 to 120 matches the Rfam family "5.8S ribosomal RNA", at positions 35 to 154 of the family's 154-position model. The record is from RNAcentral.
GAUGAAGAACGUAGCGAAAUGCGAUAAGUAAUGUGAAUUGCAGAAUUCAGUGAAUCAUCGAAUCUUUGAACGCACAUUGCGCCCGCCAGUAUUCUGGCGGGCAUGCCUGUUUGAGCGUCAUUUCAACCAUCAAGCCCCCGGGCUUGUGUUGGGGACCUGCGGCUGCCGCAGGCCCUGAAAACCAGUGGCGGGCUCGCUAGUCACUCCGAGCGUAGUAGUUACAUCUCGCUCAGGGCGUGCUGCGGGUUCCGGCCGUUAAAAGCCUUUUACCCCAAGGUUGACCUCGGAUCAGGUAGGAAGACCCGCUGAACUUAAGCAUAUCAAUAAGCGGAGG